Non-coding RNA from Paramuricea clavata, 74 nucleotides. The record is from the annotation of a GenBank genome assembly. Lineage: Eukaryota; Metazoa; Cnidaria; Anthozoa; Malacalcyonacea; Plexauridae.
CACCAGCCCAAUGCUCCUCCAACUGAGCUACCGUCCUGACCGCGUAGCUCAGUUGGAGGAGCAUUGGGCUGGUG